Molecule: long non-coding RNA, 513 nt
Filed under: Cricetulus griseus (Chinese hamster)
Lineage: Eukaryota; Metazoa; Chordata; Mammalia; Rodentia; Cricetidae
Description: lncRNA (ENSCGRG00015031672.1)
Source: RNAcentral
GUGGGUGAAGGUCUGGGUAGAGUCGAGAACCCAGACCUUAGUGCAGGUACCUCCAUAGUAGGCCUAGGGGAGCAUGGGCUGUGCCUCUUUGAGCAGCAGGGGGCUCAUCUGCAGCAGGGAGGACUCCUGCCAGAAAGCUGGCGGAAUCUGAACAUCCUAUUUCUGUCUCUUUAAGAAGAGCUACAUUCCAUAAACUGUGGCUUUCAAUGAUCUUAGGUGAUGAGCUCUGGAUAAACAAGGAGCCAUAAACCCCAGGUGAGACAGAAGGAGGCUAAAAAGAAGACAGAGACCCACUUCUGAGGAGGGCUUGGAGGCAGAAAAGGGAUGGGUCCAAAAAAGCACCAGGGCCCCAGGCUCACACACCACCAGUGUGUGCCUAGUACUGGAAGGGGCCAGAGGACAUUGGAUAUCCUGGAGCUGGAGUUCCAGAUACUUGUGAACAACCAUAUGAGAGCUGGGAGUCAUUGCUGCCAACCACUAAGCGCCCAGUCUCAUAAAAUGGUAUUAUUUCUC